This 66-nucleotide transfer RNA is filed under the name Zenkerella insignis (Cameroon scaly-tail). Its description in RNAcentral is "tRNA-Pro". The record is from RNAcentral. Lineage: Eukaryota; Metazoa; Chordata; Mammalia; Rodentia; Anomaluridae.
CAAGGAAUAGUUUAAUUAGAAUUUCAGCUUUGGGAGUUGAUGGUGAAGUGUAUUCUUCUUCCUUGA